UCUUGAGCACAUGAAAAUAAAUUCUUUAUUUCAGACACUUUAGCUGCCCCUAUCCCAUUGCCUUCUGUGCCUCCUGUCACAGUCUGAACCCACCUCCUCUCCCUUGAGUCCCUUUGUAUUUUUCUCCUUAAUUUUUGGCACCUUUCAACUCUGUGAAACAACAUUUAAAGAUCAGCCUAAAAGAUAAAUUAUUAACUCAUUUUCAUCUUUCUCUGCAGCGUAAUUCCAUAGGCUUGCCACUGUAACAAACGUGGCAGGGAUGCAAAGAAUGGCAAUAAAUGCAUACAAAGUCUCCUAGCAUCUAGGAAACAGAGCAACAAUUCAGAGGAAGAGGACGGCUGCUCUAAAUUCUGCUGAACAUGUCUGCAAAAUAUUUCUAAGGUAGGUGCCUGUCUGUUUUCAAACCCAGCCUUCAUUUGUCUCUUUUUCUUCCCUGUUUUUCGACCCCAGGGUUAUAUCCCUCUUCACACACCUGGAAGAGAGUCCUCAGAAGUGAUGCUUUGCUUCAGGUUUCCUCUCCUGGGCAGCUCCUGGGGGCCAGGGUGCAGCUGGCCUCAGCUUGCACUCCCCCACUGCUCCUGGCUCCCAUUCCACCCUCCCUGAUGUUCCUGGCGAUGGAGCUGUGUUGGAAACAGCCUUCUGGGCACUGUGCUCUGGGCAGUGUGAGCUAGGAUACAAAGCACAGGUAAAUCAUGCGCUCUAUAAAAUGAAACAUUUCGCUCCAAGAGUGGAGGGACAUCAUCUCCAUUUUCUUGCCAGCCACAUCACAGCCUGUGCAAUACAUUUACUUUAUGACAUUUCAAACGGACAAGGAUCUGCCAUCACAGCUGCUUCAUCUAUAUGCAUUUUGUGUGUGUUCCAUACAUGCCUAGCAUGUCUGCAGGGCUCCCAAGAAAUCCUACAGGGCUCCCAUGCUGGAAUCAUCCCCCCUGUGAGAUGGUGGAGUUUUCUGGCACGAGGAUGCAGAUCACAUCCCUCCUGCAGGAAGGCAGAAGAGGAGCUGGUUGACACCUGGGACACAGAACUCUUCCUACAUUCCCAGAGUCAGCACUGGUGAAUCUGGUUGGGGGAAAUAACUGCAUUUCACUAUGCUAUGUAGCCAGCACAAAGGAAACAGGACAGACUUCCACCCAUGACUUAGAAAUUUUUAGUGUAGAAACAGGUUCCUUGAGAACUGAGUAAAGCAGUUUUUGCUAGUCCACAGCCUAAGAAAUCUUUCUUGCCCUUCCUAAUAUACCAAAAAAAGCUUAAAAAGAAACACUUUCUCAAACAGUUUAAUUCCUGCUAUACCUUUUAAAAAUAGAGCUUAAGACUAGACAAGAUGGACAAAAGUCUGUGUCUAUCUUCUAGAAUUUCCUUUUUCCGAAGCAGUGAUCAAAAAUUCAGUGCCUGUAACCUAUAAAUCUGAAGGAUUCCACAUAGGUCAGUCUAAGUUAGGUGUCUGCAGGAUUCUGAUGAUUACUUUCUCUGAAUGCCCCUUUUCUUCAGUGUUGCUCCCAAGGUACUGUGCACUGGUGUUGCAGUGCACUUGUAUUGCAGUUUAAUCUGAGCAGGUUCCAUAAGAGUGAGCGAUGACAGUGUUCACAGGUUCUUGUUCACCUUCCUGCCCGUUCCUGACAAUGUCUCCUUAAGAAACCUGAGCUCAAACCACUAGUGGAAGGUGCUGGAAUAAUAGUAAUAAUAGUAAUAGUAAU
Zonotrichia albicollis (white-throated sparrow) is the source of this 1694-nucleotide long non-coding RNA. NCBI's taxonomy places the organism in Eukaryota, Metazoa, Chordata, Aves, Passeriformes, Passerellidae. The record is from Ensembl.